Molecule: ribosomal RNA, 468 nt
Filed under: uncultured bacterium
Lineage: Bacteria
Description: partial 16S ribosomal RNA
Rfam family: Bacterial small subunit ribosomal RNA
Source: RNAcentral
GACGAACGCUGGCGGCGUGCUUAACACAUGCAAGUCGAACGGAAAGGCCCUGCUUUUGUGGGGUGCUCGAGUGGCGAACGGGUGAGUAACACGUGAGUCACCUGCCCUUGACUUUGGGAUAACUUCAGGAAACUGGGGCUAAUACCGGAUAGGAGCUCCUGCUGCAUGGUGGGGGUUGGAAAGCUUCGGCGGUUGGGGAUGGACGCGCGGCUUAUCAGCUUGUUGGUGGGGUAGUGGCUUACCAAGGCUUUGACGGGUGGCCGGCCUGAGAGGGUGACCGGCCACAUUGGGACUGCGAUACGGCCCAGACUCCUACGGGAGGCAGCAGUGGGGAAUAUUACACAAUGGGCGGAAGCCUGAUGCAGCAACGCCGCGUGCGGGAUGACGGCCUUCGGGUUGUAAACCGCUUUCGCCUGUGACGAAGCGUGAGUGACGGUAAUGGGUAAAGAAGCACCGGCUAACUACGUG